Molecule: ribosomal RNA, 772 nt
Filed under: uncultured bacterium
Lineage: Bacteria
Description: bacterial SSU rRNA
Rfam family: Bacterial small subunit ribosomal RNA
Source: RNAcentral
AGGGGUUUGAUCAUGGGCUCAGGACGAACGCUGGCGGCGUGCUUAACACAUGCAAGUCGAACGAGGUCCAUGGAGCUUGCUCCAGAAGACCUAGUGGCGAACGGGUGCGUAACACGUGAGAAACCUGCCCCGAACUUGGGAAUAACAGUUGGAAACGACUGCUAAUACCGAAUGCCCUCGUAGCACCGCAUGGUGCAUCGAGGAAAGCGUUAGCGGUUUGGGAGGGUCUCGCGGCCUAUCAGCUAGUUGGUGAGGUAACGGCUCACCAAGGCAUCGACGGGUAGCUGGUCUGAGAGGAUGAUCAGCCACACUGGGACUGAGAUACGGCCCAGACUCCUACGGGAGGCAGCAGUGGGGAAUAUUGCACAAUGGGCGCAAGCCUGAUGCAGCAACGCCGCGUGCGGGAAGAAGGCCCUAGGGUUGUAAACCGCUUUCAGUAGGGAAGAAAAUGACGGUACCUACAGAAGAAGGUGCGGCCAACUACGUGCCAGCAGCCGCGGUGACACGUAGGCACCAAGCGUUGUCCGGAUUUAUUGGGCGUAAAGAGCUCGUAGGCGGUUCAGUCAGUCGGGUGUGAAAACUCUGGGCUCAACCCAGAGAGGCCACCCGAUACUGCUGUGACUUGAGUACGGUAGGGGAGUGGGGAAUUCCUGGUGUAGCGGUGAAAUGCGCAGAUAUCAGGAGGAACACCGGUGGCGAAGGCGCCACUCUGGGCCGUAACUGACGCUGAGGAGCGAAAGCAUGGGUAGCAACAGGAUUAGAUACCCUGGUA